This 402-nucleotide ribosomal RNA is filed under the name uncultured bacterium. Its description in RNAcentral is "bacterial SSU rRNA". It matches the Rfam family "Bacterial small subunit ribosomal RNA", at positions 355 to 774 of the family's 1533-position model. The record is from RNAcentral. RNAcentral also lists the same sequence under 2 other names.
UAGGGAAUAUUGGACAAUGGGCGAAAGCCUGAUCCAGCAAUGCCGCGUGAGUGAUGAAGGCCUUAGGGUUGUAAAGCUCUUUUACCCGGGAUGAUAAUGACAGUACCGGGAGAAUAAGCUCCGGCUAACUCCGUGCCAGCAGCCGCGGUAAUACGGAGGGAGCUAGCGUUGUUCGGAAUUACUGGGCGUAAAGCGCACGUAGGCGGCUAUUCAAGUCAGAGGUGAAAGCCCGGGGCUCAACCCCGGAACUGCCUUUGAAACUAGAUAGCUUGAAUCCAGGAGAGGUGAGUGGAAUUCCGAGUGUAGAGGUGAAAUUCGUAGAUAUUCGGAAGAACACCAGUGGCGAAGGCGGCUCACUGGACUGGUAUUGACGCUGAGGUGCGAAAGCGUGGGGAGCAAACA